AUGUGUUUGCAAGAAGAGGAAAGACUUAAAACCUCAUAUGGUGGUUCUCUGAACUAUGUGAAGGAUAAUAAGAAAAAGAACUACAAUCAAAGUGGCAAAGGUUCUCCUUCAAAGCCACAUGGAAAAGCUCCCACGCACCAUCAGCAUCAACAAAAGUCUUUUCCAGUGGACAAAGACACAUGUCUCUAUUGUAAGCAGACUGGGCACUACAAGAAAGAUUGCCCUAUUUGGCUGAACUCAAUAAUGGCAAAGAGAGGUAACAACAUUGUUUCCUUUGUAAAUGAACCCUUGUAUGCACAGUUUUCGAAAUCUACUUGGUGGAUUGACUCAGGUGCAACCGUUCAUGUUGCAAAUUCAUACAGGGAUUCUAUUCGACACGGACUAUGCAAAGAAGUGAAAGAUGGAUUGAGGUUGCAAAUGGAGUUCAAGCAGAAAUUGAAGCUGUCAGCGACAUCUCCCUGGAGUUAG
This 468-nucleotide ribosomal RNA is filed under the name Triticum aestivum (bread wheat). RNAcentral's name for it is "partial small subunit ribosomal RNA". Lineage: Eukaryota; Viridiplantae; Streptophyta; Magnoliopsida; Poales; Poaceae. The record is from RNAcentral.